Molecule: ribosomal RNA, 272 nt
Filed under: uncultured bacterium
Lineage: Bacteria
Description: partial 16S ribosomal RNA
Rfam family: Bacterial small subunit ribosomal RNA
Source: RNAcentral
AGAGUUUGAUCAUGGCUCAGGAUGAACGCUGGCGGCGUGCCUAAUACAUGCAAGUCGAGCGAACGGAUAAGGAGCUUGCUCCUUUGAAGUUAGCGGCGGACGGGUGAGUAACACGUGGGUAACCUACCUAUAAGACUGGGAUAACUUCGGGAAACCGGAGCUAAUACCGGAUAACAUUUAGAACCGCAUGGUUCUAAAGUGAAAGAUGGUUUUGCUAUCACUUAUAGAUGGACCCGCGCCGUAUUAGCUAGUUGGUAAGGUAACGGCUUACC